Molecule: ribosomal RNA, 300 nt
Filed under: Burkholderiaceae bacterium
Lineage: Bacteria; Pseudomonadati; Pseudomonadota; Betaproteobacteria; Burkholderiales; Burkholderiaceae
Description: partial 16S ribosomal RNA
Rfam family: Bacterial small subunit ribosomal RNA
Source: RNAcentral
UACAGAGGGUUGCCAACCCGCGAGGGGGAGCUAAUCUCUUAAAACGCAUCGUAGUCCGGAUCGUAGUCUGCAACUCGACUACGUGAAGCUGGAAUCGCUAGUAAUCGCGGAUCAGCAUGUCGCGGUGAAUACGUUCCCGGGUCUUGUACACACCGCCCGUCACACCAUGGGAGUGGGUUUUGCCAGAAGCAGUUAGCCUAACCGUAAGGAGGGCGAUUGCCACGGCAGGGUUCAUGACUGGGGUGAAGUCGUAACAAGGUAGCCGUAUCGGAAGGUGCGGCUGGAUCACCUCCUUUCUAG